RNAcentral lists this ribosomal RNA (416 nucleotides) under uncultured bacterium. Its description in RNAcentral is "bacterial SSU rRNA". It matches the Rfam family "Bacterial small subunit ribosomal RNA", at positions 355 to 786 of the family's 1533-position model. The record is from RNAcentral.
UGGGGAAUAUUGGGCAAUGGGCGCAAGCCUGACCCAGCAACGCCGCGUGAAGGAAGAAGGCUUUCGGGUUGUAAACUUCUUUUCUAAGGGACGAAGGAAGUGACGGUACCUUAGGAAUAAGCCACGGCUAACUACGUGCCAGCAGCCGCGGUAAUACGUAGGUGGCAAGCGUUAUCCGGAUUUACUGGGUGUAAAGGGCGUGUAGGCGGGGAAGCAAGUCAGAUGUGAAAACCACGGGCUCAACCUGUGGCCUGCAUUUGAAACUGUUUUCUUGAGUACUGGAGAGGCAGACGGAAUUCCUAGUGUAGCGGUGAAAUGCGUAGAUAUUAGGAGGAACACCAGUGGCGAAGGCGGUCUGCUGGACAGCAACUGACGCUGAGGCGCGAAAGCGUGGGGAGCAAACAGGAUUAGAUACC